UUGGGAAUAUUGCACAAUGGGCGCAAGCCUGAUGCAGCCAUGCCGCGUGUAUGAAGAAGGCCUUCGGGUUGUAAAGUACUUUCAGCGGGGAGGAAGGCGAUAAGGUUAAUAACCUUGUCGAUUGACGUUACCCGCAGAAGAAGCACCGUCUAACUCCGUUCCAGCAGCCGCGGUAAUACGGAGGGUGCAAGCGUUAAUCGGAAUUACUGGGCGUAAAGCGCACGCAGGCGUUCUGUCAAGUCGGAUGUGAAAUCCCCGGGCUCAACCUGGGAACUGCAUUCGAAACUGGCAGGCUAGAGUCUUGUAGAGGGGGGUAGAAUUCCAGGUGUAGCGGUGAAAUGCGUAGAGAUCUGGAGGAAUACCGGUGGCGAAGGCGGCCCCCUGGACAAAGACUGACGCUCAGGUGCGAAAGCGUGGGGAGCAAACAGG
RNAcentral lists this ribosomal RNA (429 nucleotides) under Bacillota bacterium. RNAcentral describes it as "Firmicutes bacterium partial 16S ribosomal RNA". It matches the Rfam family "Bacterial small subunit ribosomal RNA", at positions 355 to 776 of the family's 1533-position model. Lineage: Bacteria; Bacillati; Bacillota. The record is from RNAcentral.